This 253-nucleotide ribosomal RNA is filed under the name uncultured bacterium. Its description in RNAcentral is "partial 16S ribosomal RNA". It matches the Rfam family "Bacterial small subunit ribosomal RNA", at positions 524 to 776 of the family's 1533-position model. The record is from RNAcentral.
UACAGAGGGGGCAAGCGUUGUUCGGAAUUACUGGGCGUAAAGGGCGCGUAGGCGGCCCGCUAAGUCGAACGUGAAAUCCCCGGGCUCAACCCGGGAACUGCGUCCGAUACUGGCAGGCUUGAAUCCGGGAGAGGGAUGCGGAAUUCCAGGUGUAGCGGUGAAAUGCGUAGAGAUGUGGAGGAACACCAGUGGCGAAGGCGACUCUCUGGUCUGUAACUGACGCUGAGGCGCGAAAGCGUGGGGAGCAAACAGG